GAGCAACCUGCCCCUGACUCUGGGAUAAGCGCUGGAAACGGCGUCUAAUACUGGAUAUGUGACGUGAUCGCAUGGUCUGCGUCUGGAAAGAAUUUCGGUUGGGGAUGGGCUCGCGGCCUAUCAGCUUGUUGGUGAGGUAAUGGCUCACCAAGGCGUCGACGGGUAGCCGGCCUGAGAGGGUGACCGGCCACACUGGGACUGAGACACGGCCCAGACUCCUACGGGAGGCAGCAGUGGGGAAUAUUGCACAAUGGGCGCAAGCCUGAUGCAGCAACGCCGCGUGAGGGAUGACGGCCUUCGGGUUGUAAACCUCUUUUAGCAGGGAAGAAGCGAAAGUGACGGUACCUGCAGAAAAAGCGCCGGCUAACUACGUGCCAGCAGCCGCGGUAAUACGUAGGGCGCAAGCGUUAUCCGGAAUUAUUGGGCGUAAAGAGCUCGUAGGCGGUUUGUCGCGUCUGCUGUGAAAUCCGGAGGCUCAACCUCCGGCCUGCAGUGGGUACGGGCAGACUAGAGUGCGGUAGGGGAGAUUGGAAUUCCUGGUGUAGCGGUGGAAUGCGCAGAUAUCAGGAGGAACACCGAUGGCGAAGGCAGAUCUCUGGGCCGUAACUGACGCUGAGGAGCGAAAGGGUGGGGAGCAAACAGGCUUAGAUACCCUGGUAGUCCACCCCGUAAACGUUGGGAACUAGUUGUGGGGUCCAUUCCACGGAUUCCGUGACGCAGCUAACGCAUUAAGUUCCCCGCCUGGGGAGUACGGCCGCAAGGCUAAAACUCAAAGGAAUUGACGGGGACCCGCACAAGCGGCGGAGCAUGCGGAUUAAUUCGAUGCAACGCGAAGAACCUUACCAAGGCUUGACAUAUACGAGAACGGGCCAGAAAUGGUCAACUCUUUGGACACUCGUAAACAGGUGGUGCAUGGUUGUCGUCAGCUCGUGUCGUGAGAUGUUGGGUUAAGUCCCGCAACGAGCGCAACCCUCGUUCUAUGUUGCCAGCACGUAAUGGUGGGAACUCAUGGGAUACUGCCGGGGUCAACUCGGAGGAAGGUGGGGAUGACGUCAAAUCAUCAUGCCCCUUAUGUCUUGGGCUUCACGCAUGCUACAAUGGCCGGUACAAAGGGCUGCAAUACCGCGAGGUGGAGCGAAUCCCAAAAAGCCGGUCCCAGUUCGGAUUGAGGUCUGCAACUCGACCUCAUGAAGUCGGAGUCGCUAGUAAUCGCAGAUCAGCAACGCUGCGGUGAAUACGUUCCCGGGUCUUGUACAC
RNAcentral lists this ribosomal RNA (1257 nucleotides) under Microbacterium oxydans. Its description in RNAcentral is "bacterial SSU rRNA". It matches the Rfam family "Bacterial small subunit ribosomal RNA", at positions 119 to 1388 of the family's 1533-position model. Lineage: Bacteria; Bacillati; Actinomycetota; Actinomycetes; Micrococcales; Microbacteriaceae. The record is from RNAcentral.